This is a non-coding RNA of Aedes aegypti (yellow fever mosquito), 72 nucleotides long. The record is from Rfam. Lineage: Eukaryota; Metazoa; Arthropoda; Insecta; Diptera; Culicidae.
GGCUCGGUAGCUUAGUUGGCAAAGCGCUCGUCUAGCAUACAAGAGUCCUGGGUUCAAAUACCAGCCGAGCAC